UGAGGAAUAUUGGUCAAUGGGCGCGAGCCUGAACCAGCCAAGUCGCGUGAGGGAUGAAGGUUCUAUGGAUCGUAAACCUCUUUUAUAAGGGAAUAAAGUGUGGGACGUGUCCCGUUUUGUAUGUACCUUAUGAAUAAGGAUCGGCUAACUCCGUGCCAGCAGCCGCGGUAAUACGGAGGAUCCGAGCGUUAUCCGGAUUUAUUGGUUAAGGGUGCGUAGGCGGCCUUUUAAGUCAGCGGUGAAAGUCUGUGGCUCAACCAUAGAAUUGCCGUUGAAACUGGGGCGGUGCUGUGAUGUUUGAGGCAGGCGGAAUGCGUGGUGUAGCGGUGAAAUGCUUAGAUAUCACGCAGAACCCCGAUUGCGAAGGCAGCCUGCCAAGCCAUGACUGACGAUGAUGCACGAAAGCGUGGGGAUCAAACAGGAUUUAGAUACC
This 433-nucleotide ribosomal RNA is filed under the name uncultured bacterium. RNAcentral describes it as "bacterial SSU rRNA". It matches the Rfam family "Bacterial small subunit ribosomal RNA", at positions 355 to 786 of the family's 1533-position model. The record is from RNAcentral.